AGAGUUUGAUCCUGGCUCAGAUUGUACGCUGGCGGCAUGCCUUACACAUGCAAGUCGAACGGCAGCACGAGAGCUUGCUCUUGGUGGCGAGUGGCGAACGGGUGAGUAAUAUAUCGGAACGUACCCUAGAGUGGGGGAUAACGCAGCGAAAGUUGCGCUAAUACCGCAUACGAUCUACGGAUGAAAGUGGGGGAUCGCAAGACCUCAUGCUCAUGGAGCGGCCGAUAUCUGACUAGCUAGUUGGUAGGGUAAAAGCCUACCAAGGCUUCGAUCAGUAGCUGGUCUGAGAGGACGACCAGCCACACUGGAACUGAGACACGGUCCAGACUCCUACGGGAGGCAGCAGUGGGGAAUUUUGGACAAUGGGCGCAAGCCUGAUCCAGCAAUGCCGCGUGAGUGAAGAAGGCCUUCGGGUUGUAAAGCUCUUUUGUCAGGGAAGAAACGGUGGACUCUAAUACAGAUCACUAAUGACGGUACCUGAAGAAUAAGCACCGGCUAACUACGUGCCAGCAGCCGCGGUAAUACGUAGGGUGCAAGCGUUAAUCGGAAUUACUGGGCGUAAAGCGUGCGCAGGCGGUUGUGCAAGACAGAUGUGAAAUCCCCGGGCUCAACCUGGGAAUUGCAUUUGUGACUGCACGGCUAGAGUGUGUCAGAGGGGGGUAGAAUUCCACGUGUAGCAGUGAAUGCGUAGGGAUGUGGAGGAAUACCGAUGGCGAAGGCAGCCCCCUGGGAUAACACUGACGCUCAUGCACGAAAGCGUGGGGAGCAAACAGGAUUAGAUACCCUGGUAGUCCACGCCCUAAACGAUGUCUACUAGUUGUUGGGUCUUAAUUGACUUAGUAACGCAGCUAACGCGUGAAGUAGACCGCCUGGGGAGUACGGUCGCAAGAUUAAAACUCAAAGGAAUUGACGGGGACCCGCACAAGCGGUGGAUGAUGUGGAUUAAUUCGAUGCAACGCGAAAAACCUUACCUACCCUUGACAUGUACGGAAUCCCUGAGAGAUUAGGGAGUGCUCGAAAGAGAACCGUAACACAGGUGCUGCAUGGCUGUCGUCAGCUCGUGUCGUGAGAUGUUGGGUUAAGUCCCGCAACGAGCGCAACCCUUGUCAUUAGUUGCUACGAAAGGGCACUCUAAUGAGACUGCCGGUGACAAACCGGAGGAAGGUGGGGAUGACGUCAAGUCCUCAUGGCCCUUAUGGGUAGGGCUUCACACGUCAUACAAUGGUACAUACAGAGGGCCGCCAACCCGCGAGGGGGAGCUAAUCCCAGAAAGUGUAUCGUAGUCCGGAUUGUAGUCUGCAACUCGACUACAUGAAGUUGGAAUCGCUAGUAAUCGCGGAUCGGCAUGUCGCGGUGAAUACGUUCCCGGGUCUUGUACACACCGCCCGUCACACCAUGGGAGCGGGUUUCACCAGAAGUAGGUAGCCUAACCGUAAGGAGGGCGCUUACCACGGUGGGAUUCGUGACUGGGGUGAAGUCGUAACAAGGUA
Molecule: ribosomal RNA, 1490 nt
Filed under: metagenome
Description: bacterial SSU rRNA
Rfam family: Bacterial small subunit ribosomal RNA
Source: RNAcentral